Molecule: long non-coding RNA, 532 nt
Organism: Haliotis rufescens (red abalone)
Lineage: Eukaryota; Metazoa; Mollusca; Gastropoda; Lepetellida; Haliotidae
Exons: 3
Source: RefSeq, a predicted model, not a curated record
AUGUCAUAUAGGUAUUUUGUUCAUUCAGACAUUUAUUUGAAAUAUAUUCUUACGCACAUUCUCCCCGAACCUACUUUCCUUGGCCACCAUAGUUUCCGGAGACACUGUGACAUUGAAAUCCUGCACAUCAGCCUACAGUCAUGUCGGGGGACUUUGUUGAUGAGAGAGUAGCCAACUACAAGGGACUGCAGUUCUACUUCAACUCCUACACAAAGAGAGGCAGGCUAAACUGGGUCAUGGCUACAUACGGAACCCUCUUCGGCUAUUAUUUAUUCAGCAAGUUACGAAAACCCAAGGCACCAGUUGCAGCCAAGAAAUAACCAUUUAGCCAUUUAGGAUGAAUAUUUGUGUACAUGAAUUGUGCAGUGAUAUGUUGACACGCUGAUGAAGAGACUCCCAUUUGAGAUCAAGUCUUUGUGAACAUGGCUGUAGUUUUUGGUGUCUCAUGUUUAUUAAUUGGAGGUCAAACCAUCUUGUUCAUCAGCGUUGUUACAUUAUUUACAGUUGUAUGAAUAAAUUAAAAUCAAUUUGA